RNAcentral lists this unclassified non-coding RNA (204 nucleotides) under fungal sp. RNAcentral describes it as "partial internal transcribed spacer region". The stretch from base 1 to 46 matches the Rfam family "Eukaryotic small subunit ribosomal RNA", at positions 1786 to 1831 of the family's 1831-position model. Lineage: Eukaryota; Fungi. The record is from RNAcentral.
AAGUCGUAACAAGGUUUCCGUAGGUGAACCUGCGGAAGGAUCAUUACAAAUCUUUUGCGAGAGCUGCGUGCCGUUUACGGUGUGCAGUGACUCACAACAUUAGCACAGGGCCGCAAGGCUCUGAUGUUUACGCUUGUUUGUUUGACAGAGUUAGUUGAGAAUAAUAAAAAAAGACAACUUUUAACAAUGGAUCUCUUGGCUCUU